This 406-nucleotide ribosomal RNA is filed under the name uncultured microorganism. RNAcentral describes it as "bacterial SSU rRNA". It matches the Rfam family "Bacterial small subunit ribosomal RNA", at positions 9 to 416 of the family's 1533-position model. The record is from RNAcentral.
GAGUUUGAUCGUGGCUCAGGAUGGACGCUGGCGGCGUGCUUAACACAUGCAAGUCGAACGAUGAUCCCAGCUUGCUGGGGGAUUAGUGGCGAACGGGUGAGUAACACGUGAGUAACCUGCCCUUGACUCUGGGGAUAAGCCUGGGAAACUGGGUCUAAUACCGGAUAUGACCUUCCAUCGCAUGGUGGUUGGUGGAAAGCUUUUGUGGUUUUGGAUGGACUCGCGGCCUAUCAGCUUGUUGGUGAGGUAAUGGCUUACCAAGGCGACGACGGGUAGCCGGCCUGAGAGGGUGACCGGCCACACUGGGACUGAGACACGGCCCGGACUCCUACGGGAGGCAGCAGUGGGGAAUAUUGCACAAUGGGCGCAAGCCUGAUGCAGCGACGCCGCGUGAGGGAUGACGGCC